Molecule: ribosomal RNA, 253 nt
Filed under: uncultured bacterium
Lineage: Bacteria
Description: partial 16S ribosomal RNA
Rfam family: Bacterial small subunit ribosomal RNA
Source: RNAcentral
UACAGAGGGUGCGAGCGUUAAUCGGAAUUACUGGGCGUAAAGCGUGCGCAGGCGGUUGGCAAAGUCAGCUGUGAAAGCCCCGGGCUUAACCUGGGAAUGGCGGUUGAAACUAGUCGACUCGAAUCUGGCAGAGGGGGGUGGAAUUCCACGUGUAGCAGUGAAAUGCGUAGAGAUGUGGAGGAACACCGAUGGCGAAGGCAGCCCCCUGGGCUGAGAUUGACGCUCAGGCACGAAAGCGUGGGGAGCAAACAGG